Serinus canaria (Common canary) is the source of this 594-nucleotide long non-coding RNA. RefSeq lists it as uncharacterized. NCBI's taxonomy places the organism in Eukaryota, Metazoa, Chordata, Aves, Passeriformes, Fringillidae. The transcript is spliced from 3 exons. The record is from RefSeq and is a predicted model, not a curated record.
UGUUCGUGUCUCUUCAGGGGAGUGCCUUGGUUUGACCAGCUCAGCCUUUGCAGGUGGAUGCACAAACACUGGGGCAGCUUCAGGAAAGGAAAAUCCACAUUUUUUCAUGGAAAGAAACAGCUGGUUGUCUGCAUCUCCUUAUUUGGGAUAACUGGACUUUGCAAAAUGUGCUCUGCAGAAUGAGCAGCGAGUCCCAAACUCAGCCAGGCAAAACCAGAUAUUUUCCAUCUGCUUCAAGUUUAUCAGCAAGCUGGAGGAUAAGAUCAAUUUUACCCCCAUAAAACUCUUCCAGAAAUGCCCUUUUUGCAGUUUUCAACCCUUUUUCAGGUGGGAACUACAGAUCACAGUAAUUGUCUGGAGGGACUAAAUUAAAUCCCUACAUCCCAUGGAUUUAGGGAUGCAAAAACCCUCAGGAAAGCAGGAACACUGGAGAUUCAGAGAUAUUUUCCUCAGAAAACCUGAGAAUUCUUUUAAUUUCACUUAUUGAUGAGUCCCUAUCAAAGGAUUAAAGAACACCUUUGGGAAGAGAAUCAAAAUAUCCUAAAUAUCCACUUUCUACUUGGGAAACUGGGCAGAUGACAGGAGUUUCUGAUA